This 601-nucleotide ribosomal RNA is filed under the name uncultured bacterium. RNAcentral describes it as "bacterial SSU rRNA". The stretch from base 1 to 520 matches the Rfam family "Bacterial small subunit ribosomal RNA", at positions 338 to 873 of the family's 1533-position model. The record is from RNAcentral.
CCUACGGGAGGCAGCAGUGGGGAAUCUUGCGCAAUGGGCGAAAGCCUGACGCAGCAACGCCGCGUGCGGGAAGAAGGCCUUAGGGUUGUAAACCGCUUUCAGUAGGAACGAAAAUGACGGUACCUGCAGAAGAAGGUGCGGCCAACUACGUGCCAGCAGCCGCGGUGACACGUAGGCACCAAGCGUUGUCCGGAUUUAUUGGGCGUAAAGAGCUCGUAGGCGGUUCAGUAAGUCGGGUGUGAAAACUCUGGGCUUAACCCAGAGCCGCCACUCGAUACUGCUGUGACUUGAGUUCGGUAGGGGAGCAGGGAAUUCCUAGUGUAGCGGUGAAAUGCGCAGAUAUUAGGAGGAACACCGGUGGCGAAGGCGCUGCUCUGGGCCGAUACUGACGCUGAGGAGCGAAAGCGUGGGUAGCAAACAGGAUUAGAUACCCUGGUAGUCCACGCCGUAAACGUUGGGCACUAGGUNUGGGUUCCAACCAACGGAAUCCGCGCCGUCGCUAACGCAUAGUGCCGCCGUCGGAGGUACGGCGGCGACGACUAAACGUAAACGUAAGUAGACGGCGUGAGACGUCGCCGACGGACGACGACGAGGGAGUAGG